GACGAACGCUGGCGGCGUGCUUAACACAUGCAAGUCGAACGGAAAGGCCCUGCUUGCAGGGUCCUCGAGUGGCGAACGGGUGAGGAACACGUGGGUGAUCUGCCCUGCACUUCGGGAUAAGCCUGGGAAACUGGGUCUAAUACCGGAUAGGAGCCAUUUUUAGUGUGAUGGUUGGAAAGUUUUUUCGGUGUAGGGUGAGCUCGCGGCCUAUCAGCUUGUUGGUGGGGUAAUGGCCUACCAAGGCGGCGACGGGUAGCCGGCCUGAGAGGGUGGACGGCCACAUUGAGACUGAGAUACGGCCCAGACUCCUACGGGAGGCAGAAGUGGGGAAGAUUGCACAAGGGGCGCAAGCCUGAUGCAGCGACGCCGCGUGGGGGAUGACGGCCUUCGGGUUGUAGACUCCUUGCGCUAGGGACGAAGCUUUUUGUGACGGUACCUAGAUAAGAAGCACCGGCUAACUACGUG
This 465-nucleotide ribosomal RNA is filed under the name uncultured bacterium. RNAcentral's name for it is "partial 16S ribosomal RNA". It matches the Rfam family "Bacterial small subunit ribosomal RNA", at positions 28 to 507 of the family's 1533-position model. The record is from RNAcentral.